AGAGCGAACGCUGGCGGCAUGCUUAACACAUGCAAGUCGCACGGGCAGGGGUAACUCUGUCAGUGGCGGACGGGUGAGUAACGCGUAGGUAUCUAUCUCUGGGUGGGGGACAACUGUGGGAAACUACAGCUAAUACCGCAUGACACCUGAGGGUCAAAGGCGCAAGUCGCCUGGAGAGGAGCCUGCGUACGAUUAGCUAGUUGGUGGGGUAAAGGCCUACCAAGGCGACGAUCGUUAGCUGGUCUGAGAGGAUGAUCAGCCACAUUGGGACUGAGACACGGCCCAAACUCCUACGGGAGGCAGCAGUGGGGAAUAUUGGACAAUGGGCGAAAGCCUGAUCCAGCAAUGCCGCGUGUGUGAAGAAGGUCUUCGGAUUGUAAAGCACUUUCGACGGGGACGAUGAUGACGGUACCCGUAGAAGAAGCCCCGGCUAACUUCGUGCCAGCAGCCGC
RNAcentral lists this ribosomal RNA (452 nucleotides) under uncultured bacterium. RNAcentral describes it as "SSU rRNA". It matches the Rfam family "Bacterial small subunit ribosomal RNA", at positions 26 to 518 of the family's 1533-position model. The record is from RNAcentral.